RNAcentral lists this long non-coding RNA (2427 nucleotides) under Phoenix dactylifera (date palm). RNAcentral's name for it is "long non-coding RNA (PDAC_LNC009089)". The record is from RNAcentral. Lineage: Eukaryota; Viridiplantae; Streptophyta; Magnoliopsida; Arecales; Arecaceae.
GGCCUAAGCAAUGCUCAACGUGUACUACAAGCCAGCUUGGUUAUAUUAGAGGGUGACUUGGCCACCAUGAUCAGCUAGAUCUAGGGUGGUCCGAGUUGCAGUGGAGGAGAACAACCCUUGCUUCGGAAUAUUUGAAUUAUGGUGAGUGAUGGUGUGGCCUUUCAGGCCAGGCAUGUGUUUAGAGAGGCUAAAAGAGCCACAAAUUGGGUGGCACGAUGAAUAAGGUCUAGAAAUAGUGAAGUUUUACCCUUGAUACACCUUAUGAUCUAUGAAUUAAGUUUUUGAUUAUGGAAAGGACUUUCUAAAGGUAAGAUCGAGGGCUCCAAAACCCUAUCCUGCUACCUAAAUGUUGAAAAUUGAAGAAGAAUUAAAGAUCUAUAAGUUAAUAAAUGAACAUAAAAUAAUUAACCUAAAAUAAAUAAAAGAACAAGAGAGCAAGCUAAUGUAUUAUCAAGGAGCAAGAAUUCUUAAUGGUCAAAAACAAAUUAUAAAGCUAGCAUCAUCAUUAUAUGAAUCAAUGCAAAAAUAAAAUAAAAGGGAAGAAAGACAAGCUUCUCUAGAGUAUAUCGGCAUGAAUCUGGCACACCUCUUCCUCUUGAAGGAUCUCUCGUAUCUUGGGGGGUCUAGAUUUAAGGGAAUUGAGAUAGAAGAAGAGUGGAAUAGGGGUGGUAAGAUCAAGAUAAAAGAACCUAAGCUAGAGCUCUAGAGAGAGAAAAGAAUCAAAAAAUUAAGUUGUUAACUCUUUCCUCCGAAGGAGUAUUUAUAGCUAGAGAAGAGAGAGAUCAAUGGGAGAGUUUGAACUUUUUUGAGUUAGAGCAAGGUUGAGAUGAUGCCAAGUGGCAUAUAAUUAUUGGCUUAAGGAGAGAGCAAUCGAUUAAGGCUUGGUUGAAUGGAUGAGAUUCUCUUUUCUAAAUUUGAUAGCUAUAAAUACUUCCAUCUUUUAACUACGGGAUGGGAGGUUAGUUACAACUUAAAAAUAUUAGAUUUAUAGGUGAAUUUUCAGGUAUUUUUGGGUAAUUUUUGUUACUAGGUUGGAGAUAUCCAAAAAAUAUAAAAUUUUAACUAAGACACCUAUGAGAUGGUUCUAAUUUUAGCCCAAUUUAAGCUUGUUUGACCUAUAUUUAGAAAUGGUCAAAUUUGGGCUCUAAAGUAAAUUGAACCUGGUCCAAUUGGUUUGCGCAUGUGGAAUUUGAUCAAACUAGAUAGUGAAAAGUAUACUUGGACCCUUAAAUCAUUAAUUGCGGUGAAGAUAGAAUUAGAAAGUAAUUAGGAGAUAAUUGGAUCGAGUUAGUGAAUCAGUCUUAAUCAGGUGACCAUGAGAUAACCUAUUUAGGUUAAUUUGCAAAAAUUAACCCAAAACUUGCAUAAUUGGACUUAAAAAUAGCCAAUUAAGAAUGGAAGUAGGUAAAAAAGUUGGAUAAAUUGAGCUUGAAAUGGAACGAGAUUAUAUGAAAUUGUUUGCCCACAUCUAGAUUGAUAGCCAAGAACCAUAAAUCGAUCAAUUAUAGGCCUUCUAAUGAUGUCGAUAUAGAUCGAUCGAGAAGCAACAACUUCUAUAAGAUAUCUCUUCUAGCAAUAAAGAAGGUAACAUAUAAUACAUAAGAUUGUAAUAAUACAUAAAUUUUUUUUCCCAAACAUCAAAAUUGAACUUUUAUCUUUAUUUUCCAAUCAAUUUCAUGUUUGCUUAUUUUAAAUUUCUUGUAGAUUAGUUUGUAAUUUAAUUUAUCACCAUUGCUUUCUUGAGUAGAAAGCAUAUUAGUAGUGAAAAUCCUUGAUGGUCUAAGAUGGUAGAGCCUAUAAUUUUACCAUCCUUGUCUGUGAAAGUAUAGUGGUACACCCAUGUAUUCAUCUAACUUGUAUUUAAAAUAUUCUCUUAUACCCUGAAAAGAGGCCAAGUUUUCAGGCUCAUCUGGUAGCAUUAGCAUGCAUAACUAUUUAGAUGCCACCUAGGUAGAGGAAUGAUGUACCACUAUCUGGCUAUCCUCAAGCUGACAGUCGUAUUGGUGGUGUCGCUAAUGAACAACUAGUAUCACAAGGUGAACCAGUGGGAUGCAUCCCAUAGGCUCCCCAAAGAAAAGUGAUACUAGUUCUAGCCCACUAAGGAAAGUAACAGUUAGGAAUGAUGUACCACUAUCUGGCUAUCCUCAAGCUGACAAUCGUUGUGGUGGUGUCGCUAAUGAACAACUGGUAUCACAAAAUGAACCAUUGGGAUGCAUCCCAUAGGCUCCUCAAAGGAAAGUGAUACUAGUUCUAGCCCACUAAGUUGUAACAAUUAUGAUCUUGAUUUGCGGCCUAUUGCUGCCCAUUUGCUAGAGCAACACUACUGCCCUCGAUAAUUUGCUCGUACCCUUUCCCCUUAAGCCUUAUGCUUCUGCCAUGCAUCUUCUUUCAAUGAAUACUCUUAUGUACUGAUAGUCAAUUUUAAAG